RNAcentral lists this transfer RNA (87 nucleotides) under Patescibacteria group bacterium. RNAcentral's name for it is "tRNA-Leu". It matches the Rfam family "tRNA". Rfam says of the family: Transfer RNA (tRNA) molecules are approximately 80 nucleotides in length. The record is from RNAcentral. RNAcentral also lists the same sequence under 1 other name.
GCGCGGGUGCUGUAAUUGGUAGCCAGGCUAGCCUAAGGAGCUAGUGGGAAUUAUCCCGUGGAGGUUCGAGUCCUCUCCCGCGCACCA